This is a non-coding RNA of Schistosoma mansoni, 45 nucleotides long. NCBI's taxonomy places the organism in Eukaryota, Metazoa, Platyhelminthes, Trematoda, Strigeidida, Schistosomatidae. The record is from Rfam.
AUCCAGUUGACGAGUCCCAAGUAGGACGAAACGCGCGUCCUGGAU